UGAACACAUGGAUCUAACAGCUCAAC
RNAcentral lists this non-coding RNA (26 nucleotides) under Rattus norvegicus (Norway rat). The record is from RNAcentral. Lineage: Eukaryota; Metazoa; Chordata; Mammalia; Rodentia; Muridae.